GAUGAACGCUAGCGGCAGGCCUAACACAUGCAAGUCGAGGGGUAGAGUUAGCUUGCUAACUUGAGACCGGCGCACGGGUGCGUAACGCGUAUGCAAUCUACCUUGUACAGGGGGAUAGCCCAGAGAAAUUUGGAUUAAUACCCCAUGGUGUUUAGAAGUGGCAUCACUUUUUUACUAAAGUUCCAACGGUACAAGAUGAGCAUGCGUCCCAUUAGCUAGCUGGUAUGGUAACGGCAUACCAAGUCUAUGAUGGGUAGGGGUCCUGAGAGGGAGAUCCCCCACACUGGUACUGAGACACGGACCAGACUCCUACGGGAGGCAGCAGUGAGGAAUAUUGGUCAAUGGUCGCAAGACUGAACCAGCCAUGCCGCGUGCAGGAAGACGGUCCUAUGGAUUGUAAACUGCUUUUAUACAGGAAGAAACCCUCUCACGUGUGGGAGCUUGACGGUACUGUAUGAAUAAGCAUCGGCUAACUCCGUGCCAGCCGCCGCGGUAA
Molecule: ribosomal RNA, 496 nt
Filed under: uncultured bacterium
Lineage: Bacteria
Description: partial 16S ribosomal RNA
Rfam family: Bacterial small subunit ribosomal RNA
Source: RNAcentral